This 1913-nucleotide long non-coding RNA is filed under the name Ananas comosus (pineapple). RNAcentral describes it as "long non-coding RNA (ACOM_LNC031546)". The record is from RNAcentral. Lineage: Eukaryota; Viridiplantae; Streptophyta; Magnoliopsida; Poales; Bromeliaceae.
UUAAAACUAAUUAUAUUGUUCUAUUAUGCCCGAGAUUGUAAAUUUGCAAUGUAUCGAUGUCAACGUUCACAAGAACCAAAACUGGAACAACAUUAGACGACUCAAUUUCGUCCUAACAGUAUAAAUUUGCAAACAGUGCUUUUUCUCAUUCAAUCGAACAUUGAGUAAAACCGAAUUAUAUUGUUCUAUUAUGCCCCGAGACUGUAAAUUUGCAACGUAUCGUUGUCAACGUUCACAAGAAACAAAACCGAAAAAAUAUUAGACUACUCAAUUGCUCCCUAACAGUAUAACUUUGCAAUGAGUACUUUUUCUCAUUCAAUCGAAUAAAGAGUAAAACCUAAUUUUAUUGUUCUAUUAUGCCACGAGAGUGUAAAUUUGCAAUGUAUCAAUGUCAACGUUCACAAAAGUCAAAACCAGACCAACAUUAAACUACUUAGUUGCGCCCUAACAGUAUAACUUUACAACGAGUACUUUUUCUCCUUCAACCGAACAAAGAAUAAAACCUAAUUAUAUUGUUCUAUUACGCUCCGAGAGUGUAAAUUUGCAACGUAUCGAUGCAAACGUCCACAAGAACCAAAACCAGAACAAUAUUAGACUACUCAGUUGCGCCCUAACAGUAUAACUUUGCAAACUAUGCUUUUUCUCAUUUAAUGGAAUAAAGAGUAAAACCCAAUUAUAUUGUUCUAUUAUACUCCGAGAGUGUAAAUUUGCAACGUAUCAAUGUCAACGUUCACAAGAACCAAAACCGAAAAAAUAUUAGACUGCUCAGUUGCUCCCUAACAGUAUAACUUUACAUUGAGUAUUUUUUCUCAUUCAACCAAAUAAAGAGUAAAACCUAAUUAUAUUGUUCUAUUAUGUCCCGAGAGUGUAAAUUUGCAACGUAUCGAUGUCAACGUUCACAAAAACCAAAACCGAACCAACAUUAGACUACUAAGUUGCGCUCUAACAGUAUAACUUUGCAACGAGUACUUUUUCUCCUUCAACCGAAUAAAGAGUAAAACCUAAUUAUAUUGUUCUAUUAUACCCGGAGAGUGUAAAUUUGCAACGUAUCGAUAUCAACAAUCACAAGAGCCAAAAUCGGAACAACAUUAGACUGCUCAGUUGCGCCCUAACAGUAUAACUUUGCAAACAGUAAUUUUUCCCAUUCAAUGGAACAAAAAGUAAAACCUAAUUAUAUUGUUCUAUUAUGCUCCGAGAGUAUAAAUUUGCAACGUAUUGAUGUCAACGUUCACAAGUACCAAAAUCGGAACAACAUUAGACUACUCAGUUGCGCCCAAACAGUAUUACUUUGCAAACUGUGCUUUUUUCUCAUUCAAUCGAACAAAGAGUAAAACCUAAUUAUAUUAUUCUAUUAUGCCCCGAGAGUAUAAAUUUGCAACGUAUCGAUGUCAAUGUUUACAAUAACCAAAACCGGAUCAACAUGAGACUACUCAGUUACGCCCUAACAGUAUAACUUUGCAAACAGUACUUUUUCUCAUUCAAUCAAACAAAGAAUAAAACCUAAUUAUAUUGUUCUAUUAUAUCCUAGAGUGUAAAUUUGCAAUAUCAAUGUCAACGUUCACAAAAACAAAAACCGGAACAACAUUAGACUACUCAGUUGCGUCCUAACAGUAUAACUUUGCAAACAGUGCUUUUUUUCAUUCAAUCGAACAAAGAGUAAGAACUAAUUAUAUUGUUUUAUUAUGCACCGAGAGUGUAAAUUUGUAACGUAUCAAUGUCAAUGUUCACAAGAACCAAAACCAAAAAAAUAUUAGACUACUCAGUUGUUCCCUACCCGUAUAACUUUGCAAUGAGUACUUUUUCUCAUUCAAUCGAACAAAGAGUAAAACCUAAUUAUAUUGUUCUAUUUUGCCCUGAGAGUGUAAAGUGAUUGUGCCGCUCUAAUACCAAUGUAAUCCUCCUGAUCCAACUUA